UCGAAUCCUGCNGAGCAACGACCCGAGAACAUGUUUAUCACACRGGNGNCGGGACGGGGGAAACCACGGACCAUGCCCCGANGCGUSACCACCGGUYGCUGCCGUGNGAACAACCAACCCCGGCAGAAACGCGCCAAGGAAAACAUAAAAAGGAUUGUCUGCCUCCCGUCGUGCCGUAUGCGGUGCUGCACGGGAGGAUCACGGACGCCUAAAGAAACA
RNAcentral lists this ribosomal RNA (219 nucleotides) under Gentiana pudica. Lineage: Eukaryota; Viridiplantae; Streptophyta; Magnoliopsida; Gentianales; Gentianaceae. The record is from RNAcentral.